This 1341-nucleotide ribosomal RNA is filed under the name uncultured bacterium. RNAcentral describes it as "16S ribosomal RNA". It matches the Rfam family "Bacterial small subunit ribosomal RNA", at positions 34 to 1381 of the family's 1533-position model. The record is from RNAcentral.
CGCUGGCGGCGUGCUUAACACAUGCGAGUCGAACGAUGAGGCCUAGCUUGCUAGGUGGAUUAGUGGCGAACGGGUGAGUAAUACGUGAGUAACCUACCUUUAACUCUGGGAUAAGCCUGGGAAACUGGGUCUAAUACCGGAUACGACCAAUCUCCGCAUGGGGUGUUGGUGGAAAGCGUUAUGUAGUGGUUAUAGAUGGGCUCACGGCCUAUCAGCUUGUUGGUGAGGUAACGGCUCACCAAGGCGACGACGGGUAGCCGGCCUGAGAGGGUGACCGGCCACACUGGGACUGAGACACGGCCCAGACUCCUACGGGAGGCAGCAGUGGGGAAUAUUGCACAAUGGGCGCAAGCCUGAUGCAGCGACGCCGCGUGAGGGAUGACGGCCUUCGGGUUGUAAACCUCUGUUAGCAGGGAAGAAGAGAGAUUGACGGUACCUGCAGAGAAAGCGCCGGCUAACUACGUGCCAGCAGCCGCGGUAAUACGUAGGGCGCGAGCGUUGUCCGGAAUUAUUGGGCGUAAAGAGCUUGUAGGCGGUUUGUCGCGUCUGCUGUGAAGGCCGGAGCUUAACUCCGUGUAUUGCAGUGGGUACGGGCAGACUAGAGUGCAGUAGGGGAGACUGGAAUUCCUGGUGUAGCGGUGGAAUGCGCAGAUAUCAGGAGGAACACCGAUGGCGAAGGCAGGUCUCUGGGCUGUAACUGACGCUGAGAAGCGAAAGCAUGGGGAGCGAACAGGAUUAGAUACCCUGGUAGUCCAUGCCGUAAACGUUGGGCACUAGGUGUGGGGAACAUUCCACGUUUUCCGCGCCGUAGCUAACGCAUUAAGUGCCCCGCCUGGGGAGUACGGCCGCAGGGCUAAAACUCAAAGAAAUUGACGGGGGCCCGCACAAGCGGCGGAGCAUGCGGAUUAAUUCGAUGCAACGCGAAGAACCUUACCAAGGCUUGACAUAUACUGGACCGCAUCAGAGAUGGUGUUUCCCUUCGGGGCUGGUAUACAGGUGGUGCAUGGUUGUCGUCAGCUCGUGUCGUGAGAUGUUGGGUUAAGUCCCGCAACGAGCGCAACCCUCGUUCUAUGUUGCCAGCACGUUAUGGUGGGGACUCAUAGGAGACUGCCGGGGUCAACUCGGAGGAAGGUGGGGAUGACGUCAAAUCAUCAUGCCCCUUAUGUCUUGGGCUUCACGCAUGCUACAAUGGCCGGUACAGAGGGUUGCGAUACUGUGAGGUGGAGCUAAUCCCUAAAAGCCGGUCUCAGUUCGGAUUGGGGUCUGCAACUCGACCCCAUGAAGUCGGAGUCGCUAGUAAUCGCAGAUCAGCAACGCUGCGGUGAAUACGUUCCCGGGCCU